UACGGAGGGUGCAAGCGUUAAUCGGAUUUAUUGGGCGUAAAGGGCGUGUAGGCGGGUAGAUAAGUCGGGCGUGAAAUCCCUAGGCUCAACCUAGGAACUGCACUCGAAACUGUUUAUCUUGAGUGCCGGAGAGGAAAGCGGAAUUCCUGGUGUAGAGGUGAAAUUCGUAGAUAUCAGGAGGAACACCAGUGGCGAAGGCGGCUUUCUGGACGGUAACUGACGCUGAGACGCGAAAGCGUGGGGAGCAAACAGG
Molecule: ribosomal RNA, 253 nt
Filed under: uncultured bacterium
Lineage: Bacteria
Description: partial 16S ribosomal RNA
Rfam family: Bacterial small subunit ribosomal RNA
Source: RNAcentral